GACGGAGGUCCCGAGCGUUGUUCGGAAUUAUUGGGCUUAAAGCGCGUGUAGGCGGAGCCGUAAGUACCUUGUGAAAUCCCCGGACUCAAUCCGGGAACUGCUUGGUAUACUGCGGUUCUCGAGGCAGGUAGGGGUCACUGGAACCUUAGGUGGAGCGGUGAAAUGCGUAGAUAUCUAAGGGAACGCCUGUGGCGAAAGCGGGUGACUGGGCCUGUCCUGACGCUGAGACGCGAAAGCGUAGGGAGCAAACGGG
RNAcentral lists this ribosomal RNA (253 nucleotides) under uncultured bacterium. Its description in RNAcentral is "partial 16S ribosomal RNA". It matches the Rfam family "Bacterial small subunit ribosomal RNA", at positions 524 to 776 of the family's 1533-position model. The record is from RNAcentral.